GACAGAGGGUGCAAACGUUUGUUUCGGAAUUACUGGGCGUAAAGCGAGUGUAGGCGGUCUCGUAAGUCGGGUGUGAAAGCCCUGGGCUCAACCCAGGAAGUGUACUCGAAACUGCGAGGCUAGAGUACUGGAGAGGUUGGUGGAAUUCUCGGUGUAGAGGUGAAAAUUCGUAGAUAUCGAGAGGAACACCGGUGGCGAAGGCGGCCAACUGGACAGAUACUGACGCUGAGAACUCGAAAAGGCGUGGGGG
RNAcentral lists this ribosomal RNA (250 nucleotides) under uncultured bacterium. Its description in RNAcentral is "partial 16S ribosomal RNA". It matches the Rfam family "Bacterial small subunit ribosomal RNA", at positions 524 to 767 of the family's 1533-position model. The record is from RNAcentral.